CUACCAUACUUCAUACACCCUCGUCUUGGAGCAUAUUAAUCCAGCACGAUGUCCAGGUUUCAAGCGACAGCGAAUCCGCACAGCAUUUAAAAAUUGGCCGUGCGAUACUAUGGCUUAAGUAUAGCCAUGUGGGUGGAAGUUUUUUCUUCCACUCAAUAUGGCCGUAUGUGCAUAUUUUGAAUGCGCAGUUAAUGUAUAGCACCUGUUCAACCCUAGGGUUGGUUUGGAAGGGUACAUUUGUGAAAUUGAAUGGCUGUGCCUCAUAUACUAGCUAAUACUUUAUUUAGACACGGUGUAAAUGGGCUGAUGUAUCACUAUUACCCAAACAAGUUAUCCCAUCAGGCUACCUACACUGUGGUUAACAAGUACCGCCAUUUUAUCUGGUCCAAUCUCAGGCUAACAGGAUAACUCCUACUUUCUCAAUCCAUAACCUCCUCGCAUCUCGUCGUCGCACAAUUGCUCUCCACACAAGAUUUGCAGCGGUUCAAUUCCACCGUUGGAUAUUUCCCAUUUUUCUGCACGCACAUGGCGUAUCCUGUAUCCCAGGAGACACACCACGACUCUGCUAGCGAAGUCGGACAGAACACUCUGUAGUUGCAGUCACGCCUGGAGAGCUGAUGAUCUGUCAUAUCUGUUCAACUAGGGGUUCAAGUAAAUGGCAUACGGAGCAUUCAUUUCUCACAUACCUACAAGAUUGAUAGGGGAUGAGAGGACGAGUUCUAUAGCAGUGUGGAUGCUGAUAAACGCGGUAACGAGAAGCGCAUGGAACGAAAAUUUCAUGAUGAAUGGGCGGUUUUUGAGUUGCCAGCCGGAAUGGCUCAGGGUUGGUUGAAGGAAUGAAGACCCGCGUAGGAAACUAGGCUGGUAGUUGUGUCAUUAUUGUAUUGCUCUAUGGCUGGUUCAAAGGGCUUUGAUCUUACCUGUGAGCGUCUUUUAACUAAGAUAUAGAUGGCAACACAUAUGGACUCAAAACAAUCUUUUGAGGGAGCAGCUAGCCUGACAUUUAUACUCAUUUCAC
This 1018-nucleotide small RNA is filed under the name Histoplasma capsulatum var. duboisii H88. RNAcentral describes it as "Histoplasma capsulatum H88 hypothetical RNA". The record is from RNAcentral. Lineage: Eukaryota; Fungi; Ascomycota; Eurotiomycetes; Onygenales; Ajellomycetaceae.